CCAGCAAGGCCCUCCGCUAUUGUGGGGAAACCCAGCAGGGCCCACUGUCAUAGCCACUACCAUGGGGAGGCCCAGCAGGCCCCUCAACCAGUGUGGGGAGGCUCAGUGGGGCCUGCUGCUGCUGUGGGGAGACCUGGUAGGGCCGGUCCCUCAAGAUUGGGGACUUCUAAAGAAUCAUGGCAAGAAAAAUUGAUGGACUAUGCAGAACUGGCAAAACUGACAUAUAGGGGCAAGGAUAACUGACUUUAAAGAUGAAUGGGAACCCUUUACAAAGUAUUUGAAGAUGCAACAAAGUGAACUGGACUCCUUGGCAGGUUUUGAAUAAACAUUCACAAACUUUUGAUUGAUAAUAAUUAGCUAAAUAGUUUGAGGAUCUAUACAACUUUGUAACAUGCAGAAAACAGCAGUCUCAGAGAAACCAAAGAAGGGAACUGAGGGAAGUUGGGGGGCGGGGAUGGGUGGGUUUUAUGUAAGAGGGUGGGGGGAGAGGGAAAAUGGGGGGGGGGCAAGGAUGAUAUGUUUUUGGAUAAUACGUUUUGUUUUAAUUUUGAAUAAAAAAAAAGAUUGGGGACCUCAGCCCUAUCCCCGCAUGCUUUGUGGGGGCUGAGCUGUCCUCAGCCCCAUAGAGUUGCCGUGUAAAUUUUCAUGGACUGGGCAGAGGAGGAAUGGUGGAGAUCGUCUCCCCAGCUUGACCCUUCCCGGGAGGAGAAAGACAAUUGCAACGGGGUUGAAGGAGGUCACAGCUCAGAGGCAGAUGAGAAAGUUGAGAAAGAAGAGGAGGAGUGUCAGGAGUGCAUGUAGGAGCCAGGCCCUGUGACCAUUAGGACUUUGCAGGACUGGGGCCUUCCUAAGUUUGUUCUGAAGAGGCAAGGCGCGGCCGCACAGGUGAGGCCGAUUGGUAACUCACAGCACCUGGUGGCAAGAGCCGGGAAGGGAUAUAAGGUCAGCAUUUCCCUUCAGCUCUUUGCCACAGCAACACGUUCCAUGCCCUGCUGUGUUUGAUUCCUUGCUUCCUGACCCUCGGACCCUUGGCUUCUUGACUCCCGGCUCUCUGACCCUCGGACUCUUGGCUUCCUGGCUUCUGGACCCCCAUUCCUGCUCCCACCCUGACAUCUUGCCCCCUGUCCUGACAUCCCCUGCCAGGACUUUGAUCGCCCAUGAAACGGACCAUGACAAGGAGGAAGCACCAGGGGUAGAGGCGACAGCUGAUGGACAC
Podarcis lilfordi (Lilford's wall lizard) is the source of this 1216-nucleotide non-coding RNA. The record is from the annotation of a GenBank genome assembly. NCBI's taxonomy places the organism in Eukaryota, Metazoa, Chordata, Lepidosauria, Squamata, Lacertidae.